AUAUGAUUUAAAUAUCGUUAUCAGUUAUCAUAAUAAUUAUAAUGGUAUCAUUUAUCAUUAAUAUCCGAAACCUCCGAUAAACUGCGAUUGCACUGCGCGAUAUUUAUGUUUUCUAACUGCGUGCACUUUAUUGAAUUCAUGCGAAUUCCGAGCGCAGCAUCAAAAAAUGAGAUAUUCGUGUGUUGGUUGUCUGUUGUAUCGCAGUGACUAAUUUUCUGGUUGG
Non-coding RNA from Cinara cedri, 223 nucleotides. Lineage: Eukaryota; Metazoa; Arthropoda; Insecta; Hemiptera; Aphididae. The record is from the annotation of a GenBank genome assembly.